Molecule: ribosomal RNA, 533 nt
Filed under: uncultured bacterium
Lineage: Bacteria
Description: partial 16S ribosomal RNA
Rfam family: Bacterial small subunit ribosomal RNA
Source: RNAcentral
UGGGGAAUAUUGGACAAUGGGCGCAAGCCUGAUCCAGCCAUGCCGCGUGAGUGAUGAAGGCCCUAGGGCUGUAAAGCUCUUUCAGCGAGGAGGAUAAUGACGUUACUCGUAGAAGAAGCCCCGGCUAACUUCGUGCCAGCAGCCGCGGUAAUACGAAGGGGGCUAGCGUUGCUCGGAAUCACUGGGCGUAAAGCGCACGUAGGCGGACUUUUAAGUCAGGGGUGAAAUCCCGGGGCUCAACCUCGGAACUGCCUUUGAUACUGGAAGUCUGGAGUCCGAGAGAGGUGAGUGGAACUCCGAGUGUAGAGGUGAAAUUCGUAGAUAUUCGGAAGAACACCAGUGGCGAAGGCGGCUCACUGGCUCGGUACUGACGCUGAGGUGCGAAAAGCGUGGGGAGCAAAACAGGAUUAGAUACCCUGGUAGUCCACGCCGUAAAACGAUGGAAGCUAGCCGUCAGGGUGCAUGCAUCUUGGUGGCGCAGUUAACGCAUUAAGCUUCCCGCCUGGGGAGUACGGUCGCAAGAUUAAAAACUU